This 247-nucleotide ribosomal RNA is filed under the name uncultured Actinomycetes bacterium. RNAcentral describes it as "uncultured actinobacterium partial 16S ribosomal RNA". It matches the Rfam family "Bacterial small subunit ribosomal RNA", at positions 28 to 276 of the family's 1533-position model. Lineage: Bacteria; Bacillati; Actinomycetota; Actinomycetes. The record is from RNAcentral.
GACGAACGCUGGCGGCGUGCUUAACACAUGCAAGUCGAGCGGUAAGGCCCUUUCGGGGUACACGAGCGGCGAACGGGUGAGUAACACGUGGGUGACCUGCCUUUAGCUCUGGGAUAAGCCUGGGAAACUGGGUCUAAUACCGGAUAUGACUCCGCGGUGCAUGCUGUGGGGUGGAAAGCCUUGUGCGGCUGGAGAUGGGCCCGCGGCCUAUCAGCUUGUUGGUGGGGUGAUGGCCUAACCAAGGCGA